Molecule: ribosomal RNA, 116 nt
Filed under: Pteropus alecto (black flying fox)
Lineage: Eukaryota; Metazoa; Chordata; Mammalia; Chiroptera; Pteropodidae
Source: RNAcentral
GUCUAUGGCCAUGCCACCGUGAACAAGCCCGAUGUCUGAUCUCAAAAGCUAAGCAGGGUCGGGCCUGGUUAGUACUUGGUUGGGAAACCACCUAGGAAAACCAGGUGCUGCAGGAA